This 505-nucleotide ribosomal RNA is filed under the name uncultured bacterium. RNAcentral's name for it is "partial 16S ribosomal RNA". It matches the Rfam family "Bacterial small subunit ribosomal RNA", at positions 28 to 507 of the family's 1533-position model. The record is from RNAcentral.
GACGAACGCUGGCGGCGUGCCUAAUACAUGCAAGUAGAACGCACAGUUUAUACCGUAGCUUGCUACACCAUAGACUGUGAGUUGCGAACGGGUGAGUAACGCGUAGGUAACCUGCCUGGUAGCGGGGGAUAACUAUUGGAAACGAUAGCUAAUACCGCAUAAUAUUGAUUAUUGCAUGAUAAUUGAUUGAAAGAUGCUAUUGCAUCACUACCAGAUGGACCUGCGUUGUAUUAGCUAGUAGGUGAGGUAACGGCUCACCUAGGCGACGAUACAUAGCCGACCUGAGAGGGUGAUCGGCCACACUGGGACUGAGACACGGCCCAGACUCCUACGGGAGGCAGCAGUAGGGAAUCUUCGGCAAUGGACGAAAGUCUGACCGAGCAACGCCGCGUGAGUGAAGAAGGGUUUCGGAUCGUAAAGCUCUGUUGUAAGAGAAGAACGGGUGUGAGAGUGGAAAGUUCACACUGUGACGAUAUCUUACCAGAAAGGGACGGCUAACUACGUG